Molecule: ribosomal RNA, 465 nt
Filed under: uncultured bacterium
Lineage: Bacteria
Description: partial 16S ribosomal RNA
Rfam family: Bacterial small subunit ribosomal RNA
Source: RNAcentral
CCUACGGGCGGCAGCAGUAAGGAAUCUUCCACAAUGGGCGAAAGCCUGAUGGAGCAACGCCGCGUGGGUGAAGACGGUCUUCGGAUCGUAAAACCCUGUUGUUAGAGAAGCAAAUGCGUCAGAGUAACUGUUCACGAUUCGACGGUAUCUAACCAGAACGCCACGGCUAACUACGGGCCAGCCGCCGCGGUGAUACGUAGGUGGCAAGCUUUAUCCGGAUUUAUUUGGCGGGAAGGGAACGCAGGCGGGCUUUUAAGUCUGAUGUGAAAGCCGUCGGCAUAAACGGAGUAGUGCAUUUGAAACUGGGAGACUUGAGUGAAGAAGAGGAGAGUGGAACUCGAGGUGUAGCGGUGAAAUGCGGAGAUAUAAGGAAGAACACCAGUGGCGAAGGCGGCUCUCUGGUCUGUAACUGACGCUGAGGUUCGAAAGCGUGGGUAGCAAACAGGAUUAGAUACCCGAGUAGUC